Molecule: small nucleolar RNA, 106 nt
Filed under: Gossypium arboreum
Lineage: Eukaryota; Viridiplantae; Streptophyta; Magnoliopsida; Malvales; Malvaceae
Description: Plant small nucleolar RNA R71
Rfam family: Plant small nucleolar RNA R71
About the family: R71 is a member of the C/D box family of snoRNAs containing the C (UGAUGA) and D (CUGA) box motifs. Multiple nearly identical copies of this snoRNA have been identified in Arabidopsis, and it is thought to function as a 2'-O-ribose methylation guide for 18S ribosomal RNA.
Source: Rfam by way of RNAcentral
AACCUAUGGUGAGGCACCUUGUCAGAAGGUCCUUGUAUCUCUCCCAUGCAUCAUAGAGUGUUUCUAAAUCCAUCCGCACAAAAGAAGAGAUAUCAUUACAUAAUUU